Molecule: ribosomal RNA, 1047 nt
Filed under: human gut metagenome
Description: bacterial SSU rRNA
Rfam family: Bacterial small subunit ribosomal RNA
Source: RNAcentral
AGAGUUUGAUCCUGGCUCAGAUUGAACGCUGGCGGAACGCUUUACACAUGCAAGUCGAACGGUAACGUGGGGAGGAGCUUGCUCCACCCCGACGACGAGUGGCGAACGGGUGAGUAAUACAUCGGAACGUGUCCGCUCGUGGGGGACAACCAGCCGAAAGGUUGGCUAAUACCGCAUGAGUUCUACGGAAGAAAGAGGGGGACCCGCAAGGGCCUCUCGCGAGCGGAGCGGCCGAUGACUGAUUAGCCGGUUGGUGAGGUAACGGCUCACCAAAGCAACGAUCAGUAGCUGGUCUGAGAGGACGACCAGCCACACUGGGACUGAGACACGGCCCAGACUCCUACGGGAGGCAGCAGUGGGGAAUUUUGGACAAUGGGCGCAAGCCUGAUCCAGCUAUUCCGCGUGUGGGAUGAAGGCCCUCGGGUUGUAAACCACUUUUGUAGAGAACGAAAAGACACCUUUUAAUAAAGGGUGUUGCUGACGGUACUCUAAGAAUAAGCACCGGCUAACUACGUGCCAGCAGCCGCGGUAAUACGUAGGGUGCGAGCGUUAAUCGGAAUUACUGGGCGUAAAGGGUGCGCAGGCGGUUGAGUAAGACAGAUGUGAAAUCCCCGAGCUUAACUCGGGAAUGGCAUAUGUGACUGCUCGACUAGAGUGUGUCAGAGGGAGGUGGAAUUCCACGUGUAGCAGUGAAAUGCGUAGAUAUGUGGAAGAACACCGAUGGCGAAGGCAGCCUCCUGGGACAUAACUGACGCUCAGGCACGAAAGCGUGGGGAGCAAACAGGAUUAGAUACCCUGGUAGUCCACGCCCUAAACGAUGUUAACUAGUUGUUGGGAAGUAAUAUUCUCAGUAACGCAGCCAACGCGAGAAGUUAACCGCCUGGGAAGUACGGUCGCAAGACUAAAACUCAAAGGAAUUGACGGGGACCCGCACAAGCGGUGGAUGAUGUGGAUUAAUUCGAUGCAACGCGAAAAACCUUACCUACCCUUGACAUGUCAGGAAGCUCUUGUAAUGAGAGCGUGCCCGCAAGGGAGCCUGAACACAGG